UGAGGAAUAUUGGUCAAUGGACGAGAGUCUGAACCAGCCAAGUAGCGUGCAGGAUGACGGCCCUAUGGGUUGUAAACUGCUUUUGUUUGGGAAUAAUCGACAUUACGUGUAAUGUUUUGCAUGUACCAUUCGAAUAAGGACCGGCUAAUUCCGUGCCAGCAGCCGCGGUAAUACGGAAGGUCCAGGCGUUAUCCGGAUUUAUUGGGUUUAAAGGGAGUGUAGGCGGUUGGUUAAGCGUGUUGUGAAAUGUAGAUGCUCAACAUCUGACUUGCAGCGCGAACUGGCUGACUUGAGUACACACAACGUAGGCGGAAUUCAUGGUGUAGCGGUGAAAUGCUUAGAUAUAUGGAGGAACACCGGUGGCGAAAGCGGCUCUCUGGUCUGUAACUGACGCUGAGGCUCGAAAGCGUGGGGAGCGAACAGG
Molecule: ribosomal RNA, 424 nt
Filed under: Verrucomicrobiota bacterium
Lineage: Bacteria; Pseudomonadati; Verrucomicrobiota
Description: Verrucomicrobia bacterium partial 16S ribosomal RNA
Rfam family: Bacterial small subunit ribosomal RNA
Source: RNAcentral